AUAGAUACCCGGGUAGUCCACGCCGUAAACGAUGAGUACUAGGUGUAGGGGGUAUCGACCCCCCUGUGCCGCAGUAAACACAAUAAGUACUCCGCCUGGGAAGUACGAUCGCAAGAUUAAAACUCAAAGGAAUUGACGGGGACCCGCACAAGCAGCGGAGCAUGUGGUUUAAUUCGAAGCAACGCGAAGAACCUUACCUGGACUUGACAUCUCCUGAAUAACUCGUAAUGGAGGAAGCCCUUCGGGGCAGGGAGACAGGUGGUGCAUGGUUGUCGUCAGCUCGUGUCGUGAGAUGUUAGGUUAAGUCCUGCAACGAGCGCAACCCCUGUCGUUAGUUGCCAUCACGUAAAGGUGGGCACCCUAACGAGACUGCCGCGGUUAACGUGGAGGAAGGUGGGGAUGACGUCAAAUCAUCAUGCCCCUUAUGUCCAGGGCAACACACGUGCUACAAUGGGCAGAACAGAGAGAAGCAAUACCGCGAGGAGGAGCAAAUCUCAAAAACUGCCCCAGUUCGGAUUGCAGGCUGAACCG
Molecule: ribosomal RNA, 531 nt
Filed under: uncultured bacterium
Lineage: Bacteria
Description: bacterial SSU rRNA
Rfam family: Bacterial small subunit ribosomal RNA
Source: RNAcentral